This 429-nucleotide ribosomal RNA is filed under the name Chloroflexota bacterium. Its description in RNAcentral is "Chloroflexi bacterium partial 16S ribosomal RNA". It matches the Rfam family "Bacterial small subunit ribosomal RNA", at positions 355 to 776 of the family's 1533-position model. The record is from RNAcentral. Lineage: Bacteria; Bacillati; Chloroflexota.
UGGGGAUUAUUGCACAAUGGGCGCAAGCCUGAUGCAGCCAUGCCGCGUGUAUGAAGAAGGCCUUCGGGGUGUAAAGUACUUUCAGCGGGGAGGAAGGGAGUAAAGUUAAUACCUUUGCUCAUUAACGUUACCCGCAGAAGAAGCACCGGCUAACUCCGUGCCAGCAGCCGCGGUAGUACGGAGGGUGCAAGCGUUAAUCGGAAUUACUGGGCGUAAAGCGCACGCAGGCGGUUUGUUAAGUCAGAUGUGAAAUCCCCGGGCUCAACCUGGGAACUGCAUCUGAUACUGGCAAGCUUGAGUCUCGUAGAGGGGGGUAGAAUUCCAGGUGUAGCGGUGAAAUGCGUAGAGAUCUGGAGGAAUACCGGUGGCGAAGGCGGCCCCCUAGACGAAGACUGACGCUCAGGUGCGAAAGCGUGGGGAGCAAACAGG